Pomacea canaliculata is the source of this 952-nucleotide long non-coding RNA. RefSeq lists it as uncharacterized. The record is from RefSeq and is a predicted model, not a curated record. NCBI's taxonomy places the organism in Eukaryota, Metazoa, Mollusca, Gastropoda, Architaenioglossa, Ampullariidae. The transcript is spliced from 2 exons.
AAGAUACUAAAACUUUCUGGUGGGAGAUACACAAAAGAUGUUAAGUUUCUGCAGUAGCUCUUGUUCGCGCGUGCGAACCCAAACAAAAUGACGUAAGCUUAGAAAGUAGCAAAUUUGUGCGGCGGCGCAGACAGUACAGAAUUUCUGCAGGUUUGACAAGCUGUGGGCAGCACAGAAUGUGAGGAAUGCACAAGUGUUUCAGCACAUCUGCAUAAUCAAUUUAAUCCUCCCAAAUCUUCCCUUAUUUCCUCAGACCUCAAAGCAUUUGAGGAUCUCUUUGGAUUUAGACAGACUACAGGUGUAAACUUAUAAAAGCAACAGAGCAUAAAGGAAGAGCAUCAUGACUUACAUAUACAUACAUGUGUAAACAAAUUUAGAAAAGUUUUUAACAAUGAGAUUUCUGUCUCGUCUGCUGCUAGAGAUCAAGAGAUGACCCAAAGUCACAUGCAGACUUUUAUUAUUAAUGAUUUAUAAUGUUUAAGAAGUUUUGAAAUUAGCACUAAAUAUUUUUAUAUUCAAUAUAAAAAUUUAUAAAAUAAGAAUGGAACCAGUCUGGAAGAAGAGUAACUGCAGAAGUUAUUUUUGAAGUUGGAAAAAAGAAACUUGCUGAGUGCAGGGAGGGCACACACCGGAGGGAUAUCUUUGUUUUUGUAUCUGAGAUUCUCUUCAGUGUGUGUUCUCUCCUCACUUAGUACUCACACCUUCACCAAAGGACUGUAUUUCAAAAUUGACAGUUGCCAGAAUAUGUUUAUUGUGCUCUUCAUUAUCUAAUAUAAAGGUGGUUACUCUGACUAGUGACGUUAAAAUUUAAUAUUAAGCAUUUACCGGUUCCACAAAUUUUUUAUCAUUUACAAAUUCCUCUUAUACUUCACAUGCUGUGUUAAAACUACUCAAACUGAAGAGUAGAAUUGGCUGAAGAAAAUGUAGACGAAAUAAAAUGAAAAUAAGCUUG